CGGCUCGGACAGGGGCGUUCGCGUGCGCGCGGGCUGAGAAGCACCCUUUGAACCUGAACCAGAUCAUGCUGGCGUAGGGAGUUCUGAGAGCAGGCUU
This 97-nucleotide non-coding RNA is filed under the name Gemmobacter megaterium. Its description in RNAcentral is "TPP sequence". It matches the Rfam family "TPP riboswitch aptamer (THI element)". From Rfam's summary of the family: Vitamin B(1) in its active form thiamin pyrophosphate (TPP) is an essential coenzyme that is synthesised by coupling of pyrimidine and thiazole moieties in bacteria. The previously detected thiamin-regulatory element, thi box was extended, resulting in a new, highly conserved RNA secondary structure, the THI element, which is widely distributed in eubacteria and also occurs in some archaea. Lineage: Bacteria; Pseudomonadati; Pseudomonadota; Alphaproteobacteria; Rhodobacterales; Paracoccaceae. The record is from Rfam by way of RNAcentral.